RNAcentral lists this ribosomal RNA (76 nucleotides) under Frullania lobulata. Its description in RNAcentral is "partial 26S ribosomal RNA". It matches the Rfam family "Eukaryotic large subunit ribosomal RNA", at positions 1 to 75 of the family's 3401-position model. The record is from RNAcentral. Lineage: Eukaryota; Viridiplantae; Streptophyta; Jungermanniopsida; Porellales; Frullaniaceae.
UGGACCUCAGAUCAGGCAAGAUCACCCGCUGAAUUUAAGCAUAUCACUAAGCGGAGGAAAAGAAACUAACGAGGAU